RNAcentral lists this ribosomal RNA (468 nucleotides) under uncultured bacterium. RNAcentral describes it as "partial 16S ribosomal RNA". It matches the Rfam family "Bacterial small subunit ribosomal RNA", at positions 28 to 507 of the family's 1533-position model. The record is from RNAcentral.
GACGAACGCUGGCGGCGUGCUUAACACAUGCAAGUCGAACGGAAAGGCCCUGCUUUUGUGGGGUGCUCGAGUGGCGAACGGGUGAGUAACACGUGAGUAACCUGCCCUUGACUUUGGGAUAACUUCAGGAAACUGGGGCUAAUACCGGAUAGGAGCUCCUGCUGCAUGGUGGGGGUUGGAAAGUUUCGGCGGUUGGGGAUGGACUCGCGGCUUAUCAGCUUGUUGGUGGGGUAGUGGCUUACCAAGGCUUUGACGGGUAGCCGGCCUGAGAGGGUGACCAGCCACAUUGGGACUGAGGUACGGCCCAGACUCCUACGGGAGGCAGCAGUGGAGAAUAUUGCACAAUGGGCGGAAGCCUGAUGCAGCAACGCCGCGUGCGGGAUGACGGCCUUCGGGUUGUAAACCGCUUUCGCCUGUGACGAAGCGUGAGUGACGGUAAUGGGUAAAGAAGCACCGGCUAACUACGUG